RNAcentral lists this ribosomal RNA (785 nucleotides) under uncultured Mycobacterium sp. RNAcentral's name for it is "bacterial SSU rRNA". It matches the Rfam family "Bacterial small subunit ribosomal RNA", at positions 557 to 1340 of the family's 1533-position model. The record is from RNAcentral. Lineage: Bacteria; Bacillati; Actinomycetota; Actinomycetes; Mycobacteriales; Mycobacteriaceae.
GGCGUAAAGAGCUCGUAGGUGGUUUGUCGCGUUGUUCGUGAAAUCUCACGGCUUAACUGUGAGCGUGCGGGCGAUACGGGCAGACUUGAGUACUGCAGGGGAGACUGGAAUUCCUGGUGUAGCGGUGGAAUGCGCAGAUAUCAGGAGGAACACCGGUGGCGAAGGCGGGUCUCUGGGCAGUAACUGACGCUGAGGAGCGAAAGCGUGGGGAGCGAACAGGAUUAGAUACCCUGGUAGUCCACGCCGUAAACGGUGGGUACUAGGUGUGGGUUUCCUUCCUUGGGAUCCGUGCCGUAGCUAACGCAUUAAGUACCCCGCCUGGGGAGUACGGCCGCAAGGCUAAAACUCAAAGAAAUUGACGGGGGCCCGCACAAGCGGCGGAGCAUGUGGAUUAAUUCGAUGCAACGCGAAGAACCUUACCUGGGUUUGACAUGCACAGGACGCCGGCAGAGAUGUCGGUUCCCUUGUGGCCUGUGUGCAGGUGGUGCAUGGCUGUCGUCAGCUCGUGUCGUGAGAUGUUGGGUUAAGUCCCGCAACGAGCGCAACCCUUGUCUCAUGUUGCCAGCGGGUAAUGCCGGGGACUCGUGAGAGACUGCCGGGGUCAACUCGGAGGAAGGUGGGGAUGACGUCAAGUCAUCAUGCCCCUUAUGUCCAGGGCUUCACACAUGCUACAAUGGCCGGUACAAAGGGCUGCGAUGCCGCGAGGUUAAGCGUAUCCUUUUAAAGCCGGUCUCAGUUCGGAUCGGGGUCUGCAACUCGACCCCGUGAAGUCGGAGUCGCUAGUA